Molecule: long non-coding RNA, 1463 nt
Filed under: Equus caballus (horse)
Lineage: Eukaryota; Metazoa; Chordata; Mammalia; Perissodactyla; Equidae
Description: lncRNA (ENSECAG00000048398.1)
Source: RNAcentral
GAGGAAAUUAGUUCCUUUGUGGUUUAGGUCUUUCCUGGAAUUCAUAGACACAAUACAAAACUACCCUGAAUCUAAGAUAUUAAACUGGGCAGGAAGAAUCUUGCUCAUACUAAGCAUAGUCUUAAAGUUCUAUAUUUUCAAUUUCUACCUGUGACAAAAAAGCUUAGGAGGGAAGAGCAAGGCCAGCCCAACUUUUUUAAGUCCCUAUGACCUGAAAGAUGGAGGCAGGUGGUGUAUGUGCGGGUAGCGGGGGGCAAUGGAAGGACAUGAUGUGGUGCUCAAUGUAAUUGAAUGAGAAUCCAGAAACAAAGAGGAGGAUCUAAGUAAAUGUCAUUAGCAAGCAUGUGAGAGGACAUUACAGGAAAAUCUUGAGGUAUGUUGCUGCCAGUUGUGUGCUUUCCUUGCCCUCUGUGGGGCACAGGUAAGUCAGACCCAUUUAAAGGGACAGCACGGGAUGCAUUUCCUUUGAUUCCCUCUGUUCAUUUGGCUUUACAUGGUCUGUAAUAUUCUGUUUCCAAGGUGAAAGGCAGAAUUCCAUGAUUGUUCUCUCAGCCACUCCCAUACUAGUGAACCAAGCACUGGGUAAGCUUUGAUGUCCUUGGAAACCUACUACGUCUUCUCAACCUUGGUUCACUGGGGCUUGGCACUGGAGUAUGAAGCAGAGGAUAGGAUCUUCACGGCCAGGAGAGAAGAGAGAAAUUUUGGUGGAAGAGGGGUGCUGGAAGGAGGCAGACUACUUUUGCUAUUCGGAAGUGUUCCUAGCAGAGGUCUUCUGGUCUUUGGCAUUGGAGGAUGUAUUAGCAAUGGAAGGGGAGUCAGAUGGAAGCAACCAGCUUGAGUUUCUCUAUGCCUGUUGACAUGUUCUUUGGCAUGCAGGACUUCUUGAACUUAAAAAAUUUGGAGACUGAGGCUGGUGACAUUGGUUCAGAGCCUUGACGAUUACCAGGGCCAGCAUUUCUGCGAUCCUCCUUACCUUUUCCUCAUGCCUCUUCACUUGUGAUCACAUUAUGGCUACUGCUGCUCUGGACCUCGGUCACAUCUGUGAUCAAGGGUGGAGGAAGGUCAAAGGGAAAAGGAUGUGUCAGCGGAUUUCUUCUUACAUCUCAUUGGACAACGUGGAGGAGGUCAUCGAGAGGAGGUGACCACUGGUUGAUCUGUGAGCUAGACCCAGGCAAUCAGAGGCUCCUCACCCCCUCCUCUGUCCUUGCAAUGUACGUCCACCUACCGUUCCCACAGUGGGAGCUGUUUUCAAGGACACAGCCUUGAGAGAGUAAUGUAUUAUUGAGACCAUCUGGAAGGUAUACAUGACUGAAGCCAGUUAAGGCCUCUAGAUAAACUUUUAAGAUUCUGGCAGCAGGUGUGGAGAUCUACUCAUCUUGAAGCCACUCAAGAUAAGCCUUGUAUAUAUGUUCCCUUGCUUAUUAAUUACUAAACCUGCCACCUACCAAUCUGGAGUGGCCUGC